GAAAUAGAUUAUUUAUUAAUUGUCAAAGAAAAUCUUUUUGUGUCCCAAGAGAUAUACUGCAAGAGGGAAAACAACAAAAUCGAAGGUAUGCAUGUAGAUAUUCCUGUUAAUUAAUUGUAAUAAAUAUUUUUUAAUAGAUAUUACUUUUAUAUUGUAACAAUUCUUUUAUAAAAUGUAAAUGCAAAACAUGGAAGGGAAGAAUCAAGUGGAUCUUGUUCUGGGAAAUCAGAAUUAUACUUUUAUGAAUAUUUAAGACAACUCGAAAGUCAUUGUAGUUUUAAAGUUGUGAAAAGAAUAAUUAAAAAGAUUACAAUAUGGACAUUGCGAGAAACUCACUAAUCCUGUUGUAUUAUUCUUUAACGUAGUUAUUAUUGUCAGCUAAUUAUUAGAUACAUCAGAAGUACUAAAAAAUAAUACUCCCUCUAUGAUAGAAAAG
RNAcentral lists this unclassified non-coding RNA (436 nucleotides) under Hevea brasiliensis (rubber tree). The record is from RNAcentral. Lineage: Eukaryota; Viridiplantae; Streptophyta; Magnoliopsida; Malpighiales; Euphorbiaceae.